UUUAGUCUAAUAAUAACGUUGAUUCUUUCUGUUCCUUGUCGCAUUUUUGUCUUUGCUGCAAUCGUUUAGGAAAGUUGUCGUACUCAAGAGGGACGAUUUAAGCACUUCGUGUUGGUUGCGCUGUUUUUUUAUUUGAUAAUCUUAAACGUUUGGUUAUUGGUUCUAAAUGAAUAAUAAUAUAAUUUCAAAGUUCCUUUGCAACACAUUCAGAAUAUCGAAGAUUUUCAUCUAUGCAUUACUGCCAUGUCUCUUGGUUCCAUGCGUUGAGGGAAGUUAUCGUACCACUGAGUUUACAGUGUAAGCCUUUGUUGUGGGUUGUGAUAGGCAUGUGUGAUAGGGCUCCUGUUACUGUCAUUUUUUUGUGCUUUCAACUAAAGCUGGAAGAUCAUGACAGACGAAACUGCUGCCAUUCAUGACAGCAAGCAUUCUCAAUAAAGCGACUGUUAUACAUGAAAUGGCAGGAUCCAGAGUGGAGAUAAUAACAAACCUGUGGUUGGGUUAGGAGGUGAGGUUGCAAGCCCUGCACACUUUUCCAUCCUUCGAGAUGACUGUUACACUGAACCACUGACCACCAGGUAGUGUUUUCUGAAGUGGAAAGGAACAAGUAGCCCUUUUUAUUUUUAUUCGAGCAGAUCAAGAAAGUUGCCCGUCUUGCUGAACAUUGCGUUGUGGCCACUC
Long non-coding RNA from Macrobrachium nipponense, 678 nucleotides. RefSeq lists it as uncharacterized. The record is from RefSeq and is a predicted model, not a curated record. Lineage: Eukaryota; Metazoa; Arthropoda; Malacostraca; Decapoda; Palaemonidae. The transcript is spliced from 3 exons.